CGGCUUACCAAGACUUCGAUAGAUAGGGGGCCUGAGAGGGUGAACCCCCACACUGGUACUGAGACACGGACCAGACUCCUACGGGAGGCAGCAGUGAGGAAUAUUGGACAAUGGAGGCAACUCUGAUCCAGCCAUGCCGCGUGCAGGAAGAAUGCCCUAUGGGUUGUAAACUGCUUUUAUUUAGGAAGAAACGCCAGUACGUGUACUGGUUUGACGGUACUAAACGAAUAAGGACCGGCUAACUCCGUGCCAGCAGCCGCGGUAAUACGGAGGGUCCAAGCGUUAUCCGGAAUCAUUGGGUUUAAAGGGUCCGCAGGCGGGCUAUUAAGUCUGUGGUGAAAUCUCUUGGCUUAACCAAGAAAUUGCCAUUGAAACUACUAGUCUUGAAUUCGGUCGAAGUGGGCGGAAUGUGUCAUGUAGCGGUGAAAUGCAUAGAUAUGACACAGAACACCGAUAGCGAAGGCAGCUCACUAGGCCUGAAUUGACGCUCAGGGACGAAAGCGUGGGGAGCGAACAGGAUUAGAUACCCUGGUAGUCCACGCCGUAAACGAUCAUUACUCGAUAUCAGCGAUAUACAGUUGGUGUCUAAGCGAAAGUGAUAAGUAAUGCACCUGGGGAGUACGAUCGCAAGGUUGAAACUC
RNAcentral lists this ribosomal RNA (641 nucleotides) under uncultured bacterium. Its description in RNAcentral is "bacterial SSU rRNA". It matches the Rfam family "Bacterial small subunit ribosomal RNA", at positions 261 to 902 of the family's 1533-position model. The record is from RNAcentral.